RNAcentral lists this transfer RNA (74 nucleotides) under Gefionella okellyi. RNAcentral's name for it is "tRNA-Arg". It matches the Rfam family "tRNA". Rfam says of the family: Transfer RNA (tRNA) molecules are approximately 80 nucleotides in length. Their secondary structure includes four short double-helical elements and three loops (D, anti-codon, and T loops). Further hydrogen bonds mediate the characteristic L-shaped molecular structure. tRNAs have two regions of fundamental functional importance: the anti-codon, which is responsible for specific mRNA codon recognition, and the 3' end, to which the tRNAs corresponding amino acid is attached (by aminoacyl-tRNA synthetases). tRNAs cope with the degeneracy of the genetic code in two manners: having more than one tRNA (with a specific anti-codon) for a particular amino acid; and 'wobble' base-pairing, i.e. permitting non-standard base-pairing at the 3rd anti-codon position. The record is from RNAcentral. Lineage: Eukaryota; Malawimonada; Malawimonadea; Malawimonadida; Malawimonadidae.
GUGUUUAUAAUUUAACUUGGAUAAAAUAUUUAACUACGAAUUAAAUUAUAGAAGUUCAAAUCUUCUUAAACACU